This 406-nucleotide ribosomal RNA is filed under the name uncultured bacterium. Its description in RNAcentral is "partial 16S ribosomal RNA". It matches the Rfam family "Bacterial small subunit ribosomal RNA", at positions 30 to 526 of the family's 1533-position model. The record is from RNAcentral.
AUUGAACGCUGGCGGCAGGCCUAACACAUGCAAGUCGAACGAGUGGCGGACGGGUGAGCAAUGUCUGGGAAACUGCCUGACGGAGGGGGAUAACUACUGGAAACGGUAGCUAAUACAGCAUACCAUCAUUUGUGCCCUGAUGGGAGUAGCUAGUUGGUGGGGUAACGGCGCACCAAGGCGUCGAUCCAUAGCUGGUCUGAGAGGAUGACCGGCCACACUGGAACUGAGACACGGUCCAGACUCCUACGGGAGGCAGCAGUAGGUAAUAUUGCACAAUGGGCGCAAGCCUGAUGCAGCCAUGCCGCGUGUAUGAAGAAGGCCUUCGGGUUGUAAAGUACUUUCAGCGGGGAGGCGUUACCCGCAGAAGAAGCACCGGCUAACUCCGUGCCAGCAGCCGCGGUAAUAC